Long non-coding RNA from Helianthus annuus (common sunflower), 202 nucleotides. RefSeq lists it as uncharacterized. The transcript has 2 exons. NCBI's taxonomy places the organism in Eukaryota, Viridiplantae, Streptophyta, Magnoliopsida, Asterales, Asteraceae. The record is from RefSeq and is a predicted model, not a curated record.
UAUUUUUAUAUAUGAUCAGGAACAUUUGGAAAGGGAAUUGGCUUCUGCAAGAGAAGAAUCUGUUAAACUUUCUGAGAGAUUGAAGGAGGCAUUUCAAGAAGUGGAGACAGCAAAGAAGGAAAAGGAGGAAUGUAUGGAGAAACUUUCACAGACUGAAAGACUAUUAGCAGAAGGUAAAGGGAGAGUAAUGAAGUUAGAGGAA